Molecule: non-coding RNA, 1576 nt
Organism: Theobroma cacao (cacao)
Lineage: Eukaryota; Viridiplantae; Streptophyta; Magnoliopsida; Malvales; Malvaceae
Source: RefSeq, a predicted model, not a curated record
GUUUAAUAAUCAAAGUCAAAUCAACCCUAUGACUUAAAAUGGUUGUUACAGUGCUAAUAGCUUUUCAGAUUGCUCCCUCCACUCUCUAGCCGUCCAAGAUUAUGACCCUUUUUCCAUUUCUUUAAUUCUUUUUUUGGGUGAGAUUAAUGAACUUGUUAAUUGCACUUCUCUUUGUAUAUUAGUGAAUAAGAUAUGGGGAAUUAAAAUUUUAAGACAGCUGUAGGGGUUUAAUGUUUAGGAGACAAAACUACAAAAGCAUUCAAAGUAAAAGACUGGAGGGAAGUAUGGGACUAUGGGGAGAUGUGUACACUGUUUCCAUUACUAUUUUUCAACCCCAGAAAGCACGCUGCGUUGCUUGCACGAGCCCAUUGAGAGAAGUUUCAAAGGUUUACCCUCUUCUUUUUUCAACACGAUAAGAAGAAUCAAACGUGCUUUGGCGGUCCCCUUUUCUCCAUCUUCUGGAUAUUUACUUGUCAUUUAAGUUUGGGUUUGAGAAAAGAUUAUGAAUGGUGGGAUUUUGUCAUUGUAUAAUUUAAUGCAAGUAGGGAUCUAAGGAAACUUAAGAGCGACAACCGGAGUCAAUAAAUAAAGAAAGGAGAGGAAACUAUAAAUGUGCAUGGCUGUCCACGCGGUUUGGCUCAGCAAACCUUAGCUUUGAGUACGGUUGUACUCUUUGAAAUUUGUGGCAAAGUGAGUAAUAGAAAACUUGGGAUAUAAUCUAAAUGCUAAUAAAAUACUCUGCUUGGGCAAGGAGAUCGACGCGAAAUCAACACGUAAGAAAUAAGCAGAGACAGAGACACAGUCUUGGUCGACAGUUUAGACUUUGAUUCAACCUUCAAAGCCCAUACUAGAAGAUAUAUUAGGCAUGGAGUUGACUGAGGAAAAUUUGCGAUUUUUCUGCCUAUGCGUUCUGACUGAGUCGCCUUCCGCCGGGUAAUCAAUUAGCAGGCCUAGCCUUUAAAUGUGUGCUUGAUUAAUGGUCUUGGUCGGUCACGAUUUGAAAACCCAUUUUCAUAGCCCAGUUGAAAUUGAAUGAUCAGACAUUCAAACUUGCAGAAUGUUCAGGUCUCUGGCCUGUCUGAAGGGGACGGUUUCAGAGGCCCUGGCCACUGACCAAAAUCCAUGAACAGUAUGACAAACAGUACGGGUCCUGUAGUGCAACUCUUCCAACAAAAUCUUCAGCUGGUGAUUUAACCCUGAACAGAGAUGCAUCGUCCAGCUGAAAACGAGGAACCCUGUAUGUUGCAACUGACUUGUGUAAUCAGUGAACUAAAAAAGACUCUUUGAAGGAAAAUGCUAUGAAUGCUAUGUGCACUCCAGCAUUUCUCAAAAGAAGGUUCCAUCAUUACUUUUUAUAUUUUCCUUUAUAUAAACCCAGAAAAGGUUCACCAGCACAAGAGCAAUCAGAUCAGACAAUGAUCCUUAUACAAUUUCCUGCCCAUUUCCUCAGAACGUAUCUGUAUCAGGAUACAAAAGAAAAGGUUCCUCCUAGACAAUCAUUGAAACAGAAAGAGUUGACUUUUUUACAAGCGAAAAAUUACAUCUCGGGAUCAGUUUUUUUUUUUUUUUUUUGGUG